Molecule: ribosomal RNA, 253 nt
Filed under: uncultured bacterium
Lineage: Bacteria
Description: partial 16S ribosomal RNA
Rfam family: Bacterial small subunit ribosomal RNA
Source: RNAcentral
UACGAGGGGGGCGAGCGUUGUUCGGAAUUAUUGGGCGUAAAGGGUGCGUAGGCGGUUUGGUAAGUCACCUGUGAAAUCUCCUGGCUCAACUGGGAGCUUGCAGGCGAAACUGCCGUGCUGGAGUGUGGGAGAGGUGCGUGGAAUUCCUGGUGUAGCGGUGAAAUGCGUAGAUAUCAGGAGGAACACCUGUGGCGAAAGCGGCGCACUGGACCACAACUGACGCUGAGGCGCGAAAGCUAGGGGAGCGAACAGG